CCUUAAAAAUUAUCAUGAUUCUUCAAUUUAUAUUUUUCCUAAUAAUAUGCACUCCUUGCUAUAUUAUCUAAAGAGGUGAUAAGAUUCAUAAAGACAACUAUCAACUUCAAAUUAUCAAACAGAAGAAAUACAACUGCAACAGUUACAUCUACACAAAACCAAACAAACUAUAUGUAAUUAUAACUGCUACAUUUUUAACUGCAUGUAUUUUUAACUACACUGCAUUUACAACUACAUCCAACCAAACGGCUCCUUAAAGAACAUGCACACAAUUAAUGUAAACGUUAAUAUCCACUCUUACGAUAAAUCAGGGUAUGCCCUAAUAACAGUUAGUAUCACUCGUAUAAAAGAUCUUGAGUCCAAAUUAAUUAACUCGGGCACCGUAUGUGUGUAGAAUUGAGCUUCUAUGCUUUUAAAAAGUGUCAAGUCAUUGGUACUUGUAAGUUUUCGGCUCUUUGAUUAAGGGACGUGUGGUUAGGAUGAUGUGGACCCCCUAAGGUUGAGUGGGUGGUUGGUUGAAUACUAUAAUCUAACGGGUAAAAAUGAUCAAAGACGUAGAUCUAACGGUAAAAAAUUUACAAGCACUAAGUGCUUGGUACUUUUACAAGCACCAUAACAGGACUAUAUAUAUAUAUAUAUAUAUAUAUAAUCAACCUAAUCAU
RNAcentral lists this long non-coding RNA (662 nucleotides) under Ananas comosus (pineapple). Its description in RNAcentral is "long non-coding RNA (ACOM_LNC034009)". Lineage: Eukaryota; Viridiplantae; Streptophyta; Magnoliopsida; Poales; Bromeliaceae. The record is from RNAcentral.